ACUGUUAUCCAUUCACUCUCUCCCCCUUAUCCGUUCACUCUCCCUCUCUCUCUCUCUCGGCGCGGCGGCAGCGGCGCGUCCCCCUCGCAGCCUGCCCCCCUCUCCUCCUCCUCCUCCUCGUGGCGCCCUCCAAGUCGUCGUCGGCUGUGGCGGCGGCGGCGGCCAAGGUGCGGGAGGAGGGAGAGGUCUCCUCCUGCGCCGACGACGACGAUGUGAGGAGGGCUCCCGACGGCGACGACGGUGACGAGGUGAGGAGGGAGAGGUCUCAUCCGGCAGCAGCAGCAGUGAGGAGGGCUCGAUGGCGUCCAGCGGCGAGGAGGUGUGCAGCGGUGGUGUGGUGCGGCGGCGCUAGGCAGUGCUAGGCGGCGAGGAGGAGGCGAGCGGCGGCGGCAGAUCCAUCCCACGAGAGCGGGCGCGUGUUCGCCGCGGGCCUCAACGACUUUGGGCAGCUCGGGAUAGGCUCCUCCGUGACUCAUCCGCUGGUACUGCUUCUUGUGCAUCAUGCCUCCAUGUGAAAUUUUCAUCUACAUUGUGAGUCAGCCUACUUUUGCACAGGAGGCAAAAGCUGGCUGGACAUAUAUCAGAAUUGCAAUUUUCACUCCUGUAAAGUUUCUUUUGUGUGCAAAUCAUUUUCCAGUGCAACUGCAGGUUCCAAUUUUUGUAGGUGUCAUGUAGAUGAUUCUCAUAUAUGUUCUUCUCAAUAUGAAUUUUCUUGUUCCUGUUCGAUGUCUGCUCUAAUUUUUGAUGAACAACGAUGUCUGAAUCUGAAUAUUUAAACUAGGCAUAUUUUGAGUUA
Molecule: long non-coding RNA, 796 nt
Organism: Oryza sativa Japonica Group (Japanese rice)
Lineage: Eukaryota; Viridiplantae; Streptophyta; Magnoliopsida; Poales; Poaceae
Source: RefSeq, a predicted model, not a curated record